Molecule: long non-coding RNA, 415 nt
Filed under: Nicotiana tabacum (common tobacco)
Lineage: Eukaryota; Viridiplantae; Streptophyta; Magnoliopsida; Solanales; Solanaceae
Description: long non-coding RNA (NTAB_LNC014301)
Source: RNAcentral
AACAUACCUUUGAAAUUGAAAUUGAAUCGAGCUCGGAACACUGGAACAGGACAGCAGCGUCUUCGACACUUCGUUUUGCCCUGAAUUUGUGAGGAGUGAGGAAUCGAAUCGAGCUGGAAAUCACCGCCUAUGAUAUUUUCCUACACUGGAACAGUAUACUUCGUUUGAUGCCGAAAAUCAGACCAUUAUAAUUUAAAGGCCCAUGCGGAAACUCAAAAGUCAAAACUUAAGCAGUCGUAGACCGGUGAAGAUGAGAUGAGAGUGAGACUUACAAAAUGUAGACUGAUAUCCUAAGCAGUCGAUUCUCGUCUAGACUCGCAGACUGAUAAGUGAUAUCCUAGACUCGCAGAGUCGCAGACUCGCAGUCGUCCAGUCGAUGACUCGAUUCUCGUCUUCUUCUUCUCGAUGAUAUCUC